UACGUAGGGUGCGAGCGUUGUCCGGAAUUAUUGGGCGUAAAGAGCUCGUAGGCGGUUCGACAAGUCGGAUGUGAAAUCUCCACGCUCAACGUGGAGGGGCCAUUCGAAACUGUCGUGACUUGAGUCCGGUAGGGGAGUGUGGAAUUCCCGGUGUAGCGGUGAAAUGCGCAGAGAUCGGGAGGAACACCCGUAGCGAAGGCGGCACUCUGGGCCGUGACUGACGCUGAGGAGCGAAAGCGUGGGGAGCAAACAGG
This 254-nucleotide ribosomal RNA is filed under the name uncultured bacterium. Its description in RNAcentral is "partial 16S ribosomal RNA". It matches the Rfam family "Bacterial small subunit ribosomal RNA", at positions 524 to 776 of the family's 1533-position model. The record is from RNAcentral.